Molecule: long non-coding RNA, 1629 nt
Organism: Cyprinus carpio (common carp)
Lineage: Eukaryota; Metazoa; Chordata; Actinopteri; Cypriniformes; Cyprinidae
Source: Ensembl
AUGGUACCGCUCCAGCACUGGCUUCAUGGCCAAGUCCCGAGGUGGGCGUGGAAGCGUGGCCUGUCGCCAAAACCUCACGCCGUGGUCAGAUUUUGCGUUCCUCUGGGCAGGAGUGCCCCUAGAGCAGAUCUCCAGGCAUGCUGUGGUUUACACGGAUGCCUCCACCACCGGCUGGGGGGCCACGUACAACGGACAUGCAGUCUCAGGGGUUUGGACGGGCCCGCAGCUGCACUGGCACAUCAAUUGCCUAGAGUUGUUAGCAGUGUGCCUUGCCUUGAACCAUCUCAAAGGUCACUUACGAGGCAUGCACGUGCCGGUCCGAACAGACAACACAGCAACCGUUGCGUACAUCAACUGACAAGGUGGUCUGCGCUCCCGUCGCAUGUCGGUACUCGUCUGCUGCCUCCUCCUUUGGAGUUGGAAGGUUCUGAGGUCACUUUGUGCUGUUCACAUUCCUUUUUAAUUAAGAAUAACAAUGAAUCAAUCUUUUGUUUUAGCUUGUUCUGUAACACUUCGAUUGAUGGCAUUGGGACAUGUUGGCCCAGGAGCAGUGCUGGAGAAGUGGUGUCCCGUCCCUGUCCAGAGACCUUCCUCGGAGUCCGUUACAACACAACCAAUAACGUGUACAGAGAAUGCCUUGCCAAUGGCACCUGGGCGAAGAAGGGAAACUACUCCCAAUGUCAGGAAAUCCUCAACGAGGAGAAGAAGAGCAAGCUGCAUUACCACAUUGCAGUCAUCAUAAACUACCUGGGACAUUGUAUCUCUCUGGGAGCCCUGCUGGUCGCCUUCAUCCUCUUCAUGAGACUCAGGAGUAUCCGGUGUCUGAGAAAUAUCAUCCACUGGAACCUGAUUACAGCAUUUAUCCUGCGAAAUGCCACCUGGUUCGUGGUGCAGCUCACUAUGAACCCAGAGGUGCAUGAGAGCAAUGUGAUCUGGUGCAGGCUGGUCACAGCAGCAUAUAAUUAUUUCCAUGUGACCAACUUCUUCUGGAUGUUUGGAGAGGGCUGCUAUCUGCACACAGCCAUAGUACUGACAUACUCCACCGACAAACUGAGGAAAUGGAUGUUCAUUUGUAUAGGCUGGUGUAUUCCAUUCCCCAUUAUCGUCGCUUGGGCCAUUGGCAAGCUGUACUAUGACAAUGAAAAGUGCUGGUUUGGGAAGCGGGCCGGCAUUUACACUGAUUAUAUUUAUCAGGGGCCCAUGAUCCUGGUCCUGCUGAUUAACUUCAUUUUUCUCUUCAACAUUGUGAGGAUCCUGAUGACUAAACUGAGGGCCUCCACUUUUUUUUAUUUUUAUUUUUAUCCUACUGAGAAAGCAGUAAAGGCCACACUGGUUCUUCUGCCGCUGCUGGGCAUCACUUACAUGCUGUUCUUCGUCAACCCAGGCGAGGAUGAGAUCUCACAGAUUGUCUUCAUCUACUUUAAUUCUUUCCUAGAGUCCUUUCAGGGCUUUUUUGUGUCAGUGUUCUACUGCUUUUUGAACAGUGAGGUACGCUCAGCCGUUCGUAAGCGGUGGCACCGCUGGCAGGAUAAGCACUCCAUUCGGGCACGGGUGGCACGGGCCAUGUCUAUUCCCACCUCUCCAACACGGGUCAGUUUCCACAGCAUCAAGCAGUCGUCGGCAGUCUGA